GUGAGAGUUGAGAGGCCGAUGCAGACGGUUGCUGCAAGAGAACGAGGAGCAGAUGGAUCGAUCAGUCAUGGAUCUCAUGGCGACGGUGCACCCUAUCUGUGCGGCGGCGGGUGAUGUCGCCACUGCCACAUGUCCUUGGUAGCCUUAACCGCGCCAGUGGUGGAGCCGGCGAGCCGGCGACUUUGGGUCAUGUCGCCACUGUCACGUCUAUAACAGCGCGAAAGGCAGUGUUGGGUCGGUAAGGCAAGAACUCAGCCGUGCCAGGAGUAUACCUCAGCCACGCUUUUCUAGGGACGCAAAGGGUGAAGAUAAGUUUUUCUUUUCUUACUUAAUUCUUAAUUUCUGAUUUGAUGUUGCUAUUUGGGGUUAUUGUCAAUUAUCCCUGCAGUGAGUCGUGUUCAAAGAAAUCCUCACAUUCAUUGGAACUGGUGAUCAGAGAUCGAAAGAACCCGUACGUGUCAAUCGUGACCAUCAGUCAAUGUCACAUCGCAAUUAUCAUGUAGCCCAAAGGAGAGCCACAUAAUUGACCAUGAGGCCUGUACUACCAUCCUGUCGAAUGCAACGCACAAGUGUAAAACGCAAGAGAUGAACCCUAAAACAAUGGACGUUCGCGACCCUCUGUUCCGAUUGCGCUGCCUAACCUUGGCCUCAGAUUGCAUCGGCGGCUGCGCUAGGUUUGCACGGACGAGGCGUACAAUGCGUCCGUGGUCCGUUCGGUCGCACGGACGAGAGCGGCGCGGCCGGAUGGGGCAUGGAUGCGAGCGGCACAGCCAGAUGGGGCGUGGCGGCCAAUAGCCAUGAAGUUCAAUCGCGAACGAUGAUUGAUUGAGAGCCUAUAAAAUCCCAACCUUGCCCCUAUUGGGCUCAUUUUCGCAAACCAAUCUCCAGUACAAAAGUGAUGGGUGAUGCUCAGGUUCCAACUCUGUUUGGUUUCAAGCUGAUCUAAUGGCUAACGGAGAGGUUAUUUAGAAAGUGAAAAAUGCGGAAAAGAAGCCACGAUUAAUGCCAGUCGAUGCUUCGGGCAGGUUUCACACGUUGACAGAUUUCAGGCUGGUUCUGCUGGGUUAGAAGUUGUACUCGAUAUGAAACUACUUGGAUGGACCAGCAUACAAGAAUUUCUAAGAAAGUCAUAGCAGCGCUCCUCUCAUGCUUUGGAGAAAGUGAACCGUAUGAUCUUCAUGUUAUUUGUGUCAACCAUAAUGUGUCUGGCCCAUGGCCCUGUGUACUGCACCGAUGCUGACAAACCCAUUUUCAUAUUCCAUCACAUUCAUGUUAAUUUUCUGACAAGACCAAGGGAUGGAAAUCCAAAACUCCUAAAUAUACUCAUGAGAUGCAAAUCACGUGGAUCAACCUUGUGAAGGAACACCAACAACACAAUCGAUUUCACAUGAGGCUGCAAAAAUUGUAAUUUAUGGGGAAGUUGUGGUGCAGCCAACCAAAGGCGUGGAUGUUGCCAGCGGCCACAAGGAUAUCUAAUUAUGUCAUUUUUGUUGGCAUAAUCUGGUUGCUGCAGCCAGUGAACUAUGGGAGACUUUGAGCACUCGAAAGCAACUAACCAAAUUUAAGAUUCACAAACAAUGAAGAUUUCGUUGGUGCACUAUAUAUGUAUACUGGUAUAUGUUUAUUUCAUAUUUGUGUUGUUGCUUAUUAUCGGUCUUGAAGAUACAGAUUAGAUAUAUUUACCAAGUGGACACUUAUACCAAAGCCCAUGUGUACAUAUGAUAUUUCUCUC
Long non-coding RNA from Triticum dicoccoides, 1732 nucleotides. RefSeq lists it as uncharacterized. The record is from RefSeq and is a predicted model, not a curated record. The transcript is spliced from 11 exons. Lineage: Eukaryota; Viridiplantae; Streptophyta; Magnoliopsida; Poales; Poaceae.